Cavia porcellus (domestic guinea pig) is the source of this 17474-nucleotide long non-coding RNA. RefSeq lists it as uncharacterized. The transcript is spliced from 4 exons. The record is from RefSeq and is a predicted model, not a curated record. NCBI's taxonomy places the organism in Eukaryota, Metazoa, Chordata, Mammalia, Rodentia, Caviidae.
ACAGGGUCCCCUCCCUCUGCCUUCCAUAAAUAUUGGUACCGAGGAUCCAGACUACGAAGAAUUGGACAUUCCAAAGAGAAUAGUUUUUCUUCUAAGUUGCUUUAAAAAUAUAUAUAUAUAUAUGUAUAUAGUGUGUAUAUAUAUAUAUAUAUAUAUAUAUAUAUAGUGUAUGUGUGUCUGUGUAUAUACACACACACACGUAUAUGUAUAUAUCUUUUAAAAUUGCACCUGUAUUGGUAUAAGGGCGAAGGCAAGUGAAAGAAGGUGACCGAGCCAGGAAGCGAGAGCACAGAUGGCUUGGUGGUGGUAUGGUGUGCUCCAUCGGCUGCCAACCUAGGGCCAUCGUCUGCCUCCAUCACCCCUCCGCCCGCUUGCCUACCCACCCAAUCCCAAACGGGUGCUGGAUCAGGUGCCGAAUCUGGCUGCCUCCUCGGCUGCCAUCCUGUGCCCAUGGAGAUGGGAGGAGGCGAAUGGAGGGGCAGCGACAACAGUCCCUGUGCUCUGGGAGGAAGGCGCGGUACACAGGAGCUGUUGGCAUCACAUCUGUCAGGCCAGUGCCCAGUGCUGGAGCAGAGGGGAAUGGUGGACCCUGGAGGCAGGGAGGAGGGACAAGAAUUGUUGCUGGCCUUCUAGAAGCUCAGCUCUGAGAAAUGGUUGGACUUUGAGGUGGUUGCUCUGUUCCAGCCUGGGAAAGUGAAGUGGUAGAGAGUAGACAUGGAAAUACCAAGAAAGAGUUCCAGAGCUGGCGAGGAUGGACAGUGCCACCACUGCCCAGGGAAACUUGUUUGGGCUGGCAACAUGGCCCUUUGUCACAGCACUGAAGGAGACAGCAAGGGGACUGGGGCAUGAAGGGGGGUGGCACUGUCCAUGGAGACUGGCAUGAGUGCUGGCAUUGUAUAGAACAAGGAAGGGUAACAGUGCCUCCCAUUAGUCUGGUGGAAGAGUUGUUGUGCCAGGAGUGAGAAAAGAGGAGGUGAGAUGGGGGUCUUUAUUUGAAAGAACAGACUUUUUUUCUGCCAGGACCUCCUUCCAAUUUCUUCUUAGGCAUGAGGAAUGAAUGACAGAUAGAAGGCAGCGUGAGGACACAAAGGAAGAAGCCCGCCAUUGCUAAGACCCCAAGCAAGAAGAGUGGAGAGCAACUGCCAGUCCUGCUUGGCCUCCAGCCAGUUCCUUGCUGAAGAUAGCCAGGUCCUCCAGCCCGGUCUGUAUGUGCCACUGUUGCAGGUGCGGUGGUGGGGGCAGGGCGUGCUUGGUGAGGCGGGCUCUAGAGUGGCGAGGGCACCUUUCUGCCAAUCCCAUUUGAACCUCACUCUAACAAGCGAGGUGUCUGAUUUUUCUUUCUGGUGCCUCCCUUUGCCUCACCCCUCUUUCAUCUUUCCAUCACCACCUGGGUCCUACUGCUUGGCACCCAACCAACUAGAUGCCGCCACACUUGGCAGUGCUGCACUGGCAUGUGAACAAUGUCUCAAAUCCUGGCACUGCGGCAAACCCAAAACCGCCCGACAUGCUCACAACGCCACUUGGUGGCAAGGAGAGAGAGGAGCCCGCACACAGAGUGCCAGGCAUUGGGUGGAACUCUGUGCUAGGUAGGAAGUGGCCAGAGACGAUGCCCCUAACAGCUGGGCGGGGCCAGCAUUCUCUAGGCCACCCCAGUUCUGCCAUUCUCCUGGACACCCACCUCCCUCUUUUCCUCACUGCCUCCAAAAAGGGAAUUUACAUGGUGCUCUACUGUGUUUGAACAGCUAGGCAAAGGGAACCCAAAGUACAGGAGGGUGAAAAGGGAGCCUGGAGAGAGACAUGCCAGCUGUGUUGUCACAGAAAUGGACUGGGGAUGUAGCUCAAUGGUAGAGUACUUGCUAGCGUACAUGAGGCCUAGAUUCAAUCCCCAGGACUGGGAGAGAGAGAGGGGAAAAAAAGGAUAUCAGAUAAAAGAGAUUGGAAGGGAUGACGGAGGAAGGAGAGACCUUCAGAGCUUGCUGUUGGAUAGCAGGGCAACAGGAACUAGUACAUAAUUACCUUGUGCCCUGUGAUUGGCUGAGCUAUAGUUGAGACGAACUUAUUGUUUCUCCUUUGUUAAAAGGUUUAUAUUCAGGCUGGGGAUGUAGCUCAGCUGCACAAGCAGCUGCCUGGCAAGUGCAAGGUUGUGAAUUUGACCCCUGGUACCAAAAAAAAAAAAAAAAAAAAAUGUCCUGGAAAGAUGGAGAGGUAGUCUAGGUCUGGAGAGGUAGGCAAGUGUUAGGAAGGCACUGGCACCUAGGACUUGCCCAUCCAGAAAGGAUGCAAGGAGAUUUUGUGGUUAGGAAUUUCUCAGUGAUACCUCAAAUUGAGUUGGGUAGGUUUCGUGUCUUUGAAAUCUAUGCUAGAAGGGAGAGUGAAGAUGAGCAGUGAGCUCAUGUGGAGGGAAAGGCCCAUUGGAGAAAAAUCCUUGCAUCUGUAGUAACAGAGACCAGCCCUUUAAGCUGCUAUCUGGAAGUUUCUAGUUGGAUUGGCUUUCCCUGCUUUUGGGUACAAAGAAACUGUAGGUCAGUGGCCUGGCAGAUCUGUGGAAAAUUUGGCUCUGGGUGAUGUCAAGAAGGAAGUUAGGCCUGUCCGGAGGGAAGUAAAGCCAUUCAUUGUCCAUGUGGGGCUGAGCUGCUCAGGGCUGGGAAAGUUCUGAUUUCAGCAUCUCUGGAGUGGAUGGCAGCUUCAGAAGAAGUAAGGUGGUUUCCACAGCAGAGGAGAAAGCAGAAGGCACUCAGCCAAGGGGGUGAGUGGACAACGUUUAUAUUUUCUGUCCUGUUCAAGAGCAGCCAACAUAAGCCAAAGACACUAUUGGAUUUCUAAUAUGUCGGAGUGAAGGGGUUGGUGAUGUCACUGUCAUGAAGACAUGAGGGGAGCCAGGACACCGCAGUAGCCCCAGGCGUGUGUAACAGGGCUGGUCUGGGUGCUGCAAAGUUGUGACAAGUUACAGGUGUACAUGGGAAUGAGCUCUCUUAGCUGGCGAUUCUCAACCUCCAGAGAGUGUAGAUCACUUCAGCAGGAGUUUCUGAUUCAGUUGGUCUGAGGGAUGGUCCAGAAACGUGCAUUUUAAACAAGCUCAGGUGACAUGAUACUCAUGGGCAAACCCUGAGAAACAGCUGUCCUCAGAGACGGCAUUUACAGUUGAUCUGGUCUGGGGUUCUGCUGCCUUUGCUUCUUUCUUCCUCCUCAGCAAUAUUCAUGUCUUUAUGCAGGCAUGUGUGGGAUACGUAUGUUUGGACUGUGUGUGUGUACUGUGAAGAUCGUUCUUCCUUUCACCCCUAGAUUCUCAGUGGUGUUCUGCCCAUGUAUUUCUCAAAAACAUCAAAAAACAUUAGGUUAUGAGCAUUGCCAGGAGAUUGUUGUCUGUGGUCCAGUGAUACUUGUGUGGAUUUUGUGGCAGAGUACAGGACAGGCCUUUGUCACGACUUCCUGAAGGCUGGAUCCCAGGGGAUGAAGUAGGGUCAGUAGAAUACAGGGCCAGACUUACUGCUGACACUCAGCAAUUUACAGAGCUGCUGUUGUUUGAGCAUUUGGUGGGGAUCCAGAAGUGAGCAGUGUGGGCAUUCUUCAAGCUGAAAAGCCGCAUGCAGAUUUGACAUCAGGGAGGGACUGCAGUGUGGAGCAGCACUGAGUCCCUGUUACUUACUUGUUCCAGUGUUUUAGCUAUUGUUUGUGAAAGAAUGUGUGUGUGGUUGGAUAGGAUACAGGGACAGGCUGGGCUUCUUUCUGGUUCACUUGUGUUAGUUAACCUGCUUCUCCACUAGGUAUUAGCAAUGCAUGCUUGUAAUCCCGAUGCUCAGGAAGCUUAGGCAAAAAGAUCUCAGUGAGUUCAAGGCCAGUUCAAGGCCAGCCUGGGCUACAUAGUGAAUUCAGGCCCUGCCUGGAAUACAGUGAGACCCUGUCUCAAAGAACAGAACAAAACAAAACCUUUGCAACCUUUCUUCCUAAUGUCUUUUUUACCUCUCCUCCUUGGAGUCCAGAGUCAUUUAAGGAACUUUUCUCCCCAUUUCUUAUCGACUUUAGUGUAAAUGAAACUAGCAUGUAUUGGCAAGUGUAAAGCGUGAUCCAGAGACUCUUUCUGUCUCUCAUGUCUCCCUCUCUCCAGGGGGUGCCUUGCUGGCAUUUGUGUGUAUCUCUGGACACCUGCAGCUGAGGUCUGCUUCUUUUUCUUAGCAUCAGUGUGCCUGUUUUGCUGUACUUAUAUACAGCAAAAAGUACAGUAUAUUGCUGUACUUAUUUCAGGGUUUUUUUCCCCUUUGGUUUCAGAUUUGAAUAUCUUUACAAGGAUGAAUGACUGGAUGAACACAUGUCUUAACAUUAGUCAGGAUGUGGAGAUUUGGGGGAAUAAAUGAUCUGGUCUAUUAGGUCUGUAAGCAGAUAAGGAACAAAUAGAAUAAGCAGGUGGGUACUACUAAGCCUGGAAUAACUGGCUUUCUUGGUUCUUACACACAGUUCUCUUAAUUACUCCAGGGCUGGAGGACUAGGGUAAGAACAGGUUUGUUUUUGUAAUCCUGCUACAGAUAUUGCCCCAUUUGGCCACUAAAGUUUAAAGUUUCUCAUGUUCAGCAGUUAGAUUUUUGUUCCUAGUUAAGAAGUACCUUAAGUUAUCCUCACAAAGAUUCUGGUUUAGAACAAAGACAGCUGAGAUCAUUUGUACUUCCUCCUCUUCAGUAAUGACCCUGGCAUAAGUAGGGACCUGCAUUUGCAUGCUUUUUUAGGAUUUCAUAUUUCAGAAAUCUUAGUUCUUUGCUCCAGGCUGUGGAAGUCUUAUGAGCCAUUGAUUCAGGGUCACAUUAUACAUAGGGUGGCUGGAGGCUAUAAAAUAGAUAUCAGUGUGCCGGGUGCUGGAGCUAAGUCUAUUCCUCCACAACAUCCUGUCACCUCUAGUAUUCUGCACAGGGCUAGGCUGACUCAGCCCUCUGUCCAUCAGAAGUGCCACCAUGUGUUGUUCUCUGAAGCAAGGUUACUGCCAGGACAUCUAGUGUGAAAAUGGAAUGCUCCUUGGGAAUAUGGAACGAUGUACCCUCAAGUAGCAUGCCAACUGACCUGUCAGCAGCCAGCCCAGCCAUUUUCUCCACAAAAUUCCAGGGUACAGUUGUUCAGUGGCAGCUCGUCACUCUGCUAUGCAUGUACACAGUGCCCCAGUGCCUCCUAGGCCAGGGUGUUUAGGUGUGAGGUGUUAGAGGGUCUUUUUUUUUUUUUUUUGGUCUUUUUCUGUUUUUACCGGUACCAGGGAUCGAACUCACGACUGCCUGCUUCCAAGGCAGGUGCUUAUGCCACUGAGCUAAAUCCCCAGCCCUGAGGGCAUUAACUCUUGAGGAAGACAUUCAUAGUUCAAAGUAAGCCAACCUACCCUGGCUGUAAGUCCCUAAAAUGCAUGACACCAUGCUUUUAAUCAUCCAGGGCUAGGUGUUUGCCAAAUGUUCUUUAAAACGUUUCCUCUUUUUCUGAGUUUUUUUUUUUUAAGUUUUAUACAUGAGUCACAUUCGCAGAAAGCACAGAGUUAAAAAGCAUCUUUCCUCAUAUGCAUGCUGCUAAGAAAAUAGUUUUAUACACAGAACUUCAACAGGAGAGAGAAGAGGACAGGGAGGGCGGGGUACAGGAGGAAUGUCAAGAAGUGAGGAAAGGACAGCAGCCAGGGCCAGACCACAGUUGGUCACUUUUCCUCUGUUGUCUAUAUUUGUAACUGCCAUUUUUGGUGUCAUAGUAACUAGCUCCAUCCUGCCUGCAAUUGGUUGGGAUAUGUUUUAAUUUUAAAAUAGAUGGGACAGGAAGUAAUAUUCACAGAAUACAUGGGGACUAAGGACUGAGUUGAAAUUUUUCUCUCCAUCUCUUCUGCACACAAGCCACUGCUUCAUGAUUAGCAUUUAUAGAGCAGAAUCACUGAGAGACUGGAAAACCUAAGUCCCAGGACUGAUUUAGGAAUAUUAAAUGGGCAAUAGUGGAGACAGCCCGAGCAGCGUGACCUCAGGGAUAUCAGACUAGAAGAAAGUUUCUGGGCAACAUAGGAAAUUUUGCAGGCUUUUCCUUACUAAAAUAAAAUACCUAAUUCUCUAUCCUGUCCACCUUAGCUGGGCUUUGGAGUUGCCAGAAUUAAUGCCCCUGGUAGUUUUGGAAGCAGUGAGGUGAGGAAACUUCCCCCUGGUCAGUCUUCUGUGGGGCCCCCUACUGAUAGCCCCCUACCAAAGGCUCAUGGUGGGCUCUAGUCCUCUCCUUGCAUGCCCAUUGCUAUGAAUGUCUUCCUCAAACGGUGCCAGCUCUAGACCCCUGGCUCCAUCGUGGAUGCCUCCUCUGUAAUGGAGGAGCUAUGCUGGGCUAGAUUGUGGGGAGCACGACCAAGGGCAGAGGACAGGGGGAUAGAAAAGUAGACGGGGAACAGGGGGCUCCGUAAAAGCAAAGAAGGUUUAGUGUCCAGAAAUGUGACGGGGCCACAGGGGAGGGGAAGAGUGGCUUGUAGAAAAAGUAAAUGAGUAGAGUAAGAGAUGCAUACCUCAGUUUCACAAAACAAACUGCCCCAUCUGCCUACCCCUAUCUUUCUGGUACUGCCGAGGUACUUCUGUUGACAUUGGCUUUGCUGACAACUGAGAAUAAGGGGAUGUUGUCUAUCUUGGAAAUACUCAAUUCAGGGGAGAGGGACGCAUCUCUCCCUAGAGUCCGGGCUCUUCUCCAGGUUACCGGCCUUGCCUCUGAGGCUGGCAUGGUGAGAAGGCUGCAGUCCUGUGAGGAUCACCAGACACCAGCAGGAAGUUAAAGCUGUUUGGUUUUUCUCCAGAGACAAGGUAGUUUAAAGACACCCUUAAAACAAGGGAAGGGUGGCACAAACAGAAAACAAAACAAAAAAACCACUUGUUUGAUGGGAGAGGUUUUUUUUUUUUUUUUUUUUUGUAUUUUCCAAGUUGGUUUUUCUUUAGUUCAUUUUCUGAUCUCUCCAUCUCUUUUGUGCAUAUGUGCACUCACUCUCUCUUGCUCUCGUUUUUUUGGUUGUGUUUCAGUCUUUUUAAAAUAACUUUGGAUUUGCCGUUGGUGGGCAGUGCCGGUCCCCAGAGGCUGAACUGCCCCAUAGCAGGGGUAGGCCAAGGGGCAGACCCAUGGCUGCUGAGAGGAUCUCUGUGUUUAAAGCCUUUGAGAAUAAACUACUGCAGUUCCCAGGGUGCAGGGUGGGGCUGGCAGAGGGGUUCCUGGGGCGGCUUCUCCUAGAGUCCAGGCCACAGGGCCCCCCUAUCUGGGGAGGAGAGGGCUAGGAAGGAGGGGUCUGGGGAGAGUGAACUGGGAGCACUUCUCCUCCUGCCAACCUCCAGUUUGGUUGAGUUUUGUGGGCUCCCUGCCCAUCUCAGGCUCCAAACUUGGGAGCCCACUGUUUUUGGGAAGAGUUUGAACGCUAUGAUGCUCUAGACAAAGGGGGUGGGAAGAAGGGGGAGUGACAAAGUUUAUUUUGUUCCCCUUCUUUGUCUUGGGUUUUCUUUCUUUCUUCUUCUUUCUUUUCUUCUUCUUCUGUUUUAGUUUGUGUGUUUGCCCAGGGGAACACCAUGGGAUAGAGUGUGUGUAUGCAUUUAAAGGAGUGGGGGAAUGCUGAUUCAGUGGGGAGAGUAAAAAUGGAACCAAGUGUGUAUUUUGUGCAUGGUGGGCAGAUAGGUAUGAGUAAUAUGGAUGCCAAGGGCUGUGUCUAUGUGUGUCUGUGAAGACACGGGGCAAGGUUGACACCUGCAAGGACCAAGGAUAAGGAUCAGUGUGUGUCUGUGGGUAAGGGAGGAGGCAGGAGUCUGCUGGAGGUGGGGUGUGUGAGGCCCACUGAGGGUGGGAACUGAAGGUUCCCAUGAGGUGGGCGGAGCCAAAGGUUGGGGCCAGGGAUCUGAGCUCCCACCAAAUACCCCUUGGGGUACAAGUAGGAGCCCUCCCAUCUCCCAUCUUGGUUUAUCUGUUUAUAAAGCUAGAAGUGUAGAGGUAGUAGUAGUUUUUGGGUUGGAGUCCGUGUGAGGUAAUCUUGCUUCCUCUUUGGCAAAAGCCACAGCAGCUGUGGCAGCAGUGGCGGUGUUGGUGACGGUGAUGGGUGGGCCCCCUGGGGGCGGGGCUGCCUUGCGCCUGUGGGCUGACGAGCGUAGGUGGGAAGCCAGGGCUUCACGGCCACUCAGCAGCACCUCACAUGCCAGGCAGUGGUAGGUGCAGAUGGGCACCCGUAAUGGGGGGGGCACAGAGCCUCCUGAGCCCCGCCCAAAGAAGCAGAAGGAUCUCUGGUGGGCAAUGGCCGGGGCCUCCCCAUCAAAUGCCAUCUUGCAUUGGCGGCACAGGUAACGGUGAGUCACAUCCACGGUGGAGAUGCCAGUGCUGCCUGUCAGCAGCUCAUCAGCCUCACCAGCUUCUCCCUCCCCCGGAGCUGGCAGUUCAGGAGGCUUUGGAGGUGCUGUGCCUGUGGGCUCAGGGGGCUGAGGGGGUGGCUGGAGUAGGGCAUUGGGGAGCAGCCCAAUGAGGGUCUGAGGUAUCACAGGGUUCAUGGGAAAUAGCCCCUUCUUCAUGCCAUAGAGCUGCUGGAAGUAGGCCCCCUGUAACUGGGGGCCAAAGACAGCUGGUGGUGCUGCCCCCCCUGCAGGGGGCAAAGGGAAGGGCAGGAAUUGGCCUCCCAACAGGGCUGGGACAGUGGCCUUCAAUGCUUUGAGGUUCUUGAGGGCAUCAGUGGAAGAGUUGGUAGGGGCUGUUAGUGGCUUUCGCUCACCAGAGACCUUGUUCCCUGAGGGCUCAGUGGGCAGGCCCAGGACAGGGUCAGUGGUGCUUGCUGUGGAGGUGUUGGUUUGGUCGGGCACAGGUCUCUGAGGUAAGGGGCGGCCUGGGCCAGCAGUCUGGACCACUGUGGUAGCAGGCAGGACAGAAGUAGCAAGGCUGAGGAGGCCUGAGGAGGCUGCAGGGCCUAGCAAGAUCAAAGGGUGAUGAAGCAUUAGCCAUUUCCUGCCUCCACACCCACAUUCCCAGCUCCCAUGCUCCCUUCCCUCUUUUCCCGGGAGCCUAGGCAGUGAUGGUGAACUUUGCAAAGCUUUCAAUGGUGAACAGCCCAUGGCGGCAUGUGUGCCAUAGGUUCAUCACCACUGGCCUAGAACAAAGGAGGGACACAGGUAGACACUGGACAUGGGAGGGUCAGGAAGACAAAGCAAGGGCAACUGUCCCACUCACCUGAAUUGAAAGGAGCUAAGCUGCUAAGUGGUGGCUGGGCCAGAGCUGGGCCAGACAAGAGGACUGGGGCCAGGCGAGGCAGGGCUGGGGCAGCCCCAAGGGGCAAGGAGGCAGGUGUGGUGGCAGGUGGAGCUUUGGGAGCUGGGGCUGCCUCAGGUGCUGGGGCCAAGUCGUAGCACUUGCUUUCGCUCUUCAGCUGGGCCCGGACUGCCUCCUUGAGUUUGGCCAGGUGCUGGCGGGAAAAGAGAUGGCCUCGGCAGGAGACAUAGAAAUCAUACUUGACAUCACAGUAGGGGCAGUCAGUGCGCUGGGCUGCCAAGAGGCCCUCGCUGCUGGCCCCGUUUCCCCCUGUGGCCAUCCCCUGCAGUUUGGCCUUCUUUUCCUUGGCACGAGCAUUCUGGAACCAGACCUGAAUGACUCUCUUGGGCAGCCCGAUCUCCUCCCCCAGCACUUCACAUUCCUGCAUGGUGGGGGUGCGGUAGGCUUCAUAGCAGGCUUUCAUGAUCUUCAGCUGCAAGCUGCUCAUCUGUGUCCUGUAACGCCGCUGCCCCAUCCCAUCAGGAACCCCAUUCCCUCCUCCUGGGCCCCCACUGGUCCCUCCAGCCCCAGGGGACUCUGGCUCAGCCAGGCUGGAAGCAGAUGAGUCACUUAGGUCUCCUGCAGAUGGACUGCAAGCUUCACUCUCUGGAGAUGCUUUAGAUGACUCUUCAGGGCCCUCGUCCUCACUGGGUAGAGGGGGAGGUGGGAGAGGUAGCAGUGGCUCUGGUGUGGAUGUACUGGCCUCCUUCCCUGGUGGUAGGAAAGGUGGGGGCCCAGCACCUGGGGUGGCCGUGGGGUAGGGAAAAGCGGGUGCUUCCCUCUUUGAGGACUCCUUCCCAGUGCUGUCGUCUGACUUGCCCAACAGGAGGUUGAACUUGGGAAAAGGUGCAGGGGUAGAUCCAACAGUGGGUUUGACUGCGGGACUGGACACCCCACCAGGAGUGCUUCGAAACUGGCCUUUCCUUUCCCUGGCCCUGGUAUUCUGGAACCAGACCUGUACUACUCGCUUUUUGAGCCCCACCUCCUCGGAGAUACAGUCAAGCAUCUUGCGUGUUGGGUUGGAGUCCUGCAUGUACCAACGGUACAGGAUCUCCAACUGCUCAGGCAGGAUGGUGGUGCGCAGGCGCUUGUCCCUGGGGGGAUCCCCAUCCACUGCACCCCCUGCUUCACUGCCUGUUGGGGACAGGCUGCCGUCCUCAUGCUUCCUUUUGAGGGGUGGCCCUGGCACCGGUGGGGUGCCAGCUGCCAGCGGGUUUCGCUCCCCAAACACCAGCAAAGGCAGAUCUAGGAGCUGGGGAGGAGCGCUGGGUUGCACAGAUGGCAAGAAAUGUAGUCGGCGGUGACUGAUGAGAAGGUCCUGGCUGGGGAAGGAGAUGGCACACUGCUCACAGGUGUGGGCUGGGGAAGGCGAGGGAUUCCCUUCGGGCUCUUUGCUUCCUGACUUGGUUGCCUCUGCCUGGCUCAGCUCUUCCACUUCUGGAGGUUCUGGUGAUGGACCCUUAGGUCCUGCUGGGGCUUCCAAGCUCUGUUCCUCCUCUGCAUCUUCUUCUACCACUUCCUCCUCUUCCCUUCUCUCUGUUUCUUCCUCCUCCUCUUCAGGGGUCUGAUCAUCGUAACACUUCUUAAGGUGCCGUACCAACUCAAAAACACAGGAGAAAGUGGUGUGGCAUCGCCUGCAGCCAGAGGCUCCCCCAGAGCUUCCUCCGGUUGGCACAGGCCCACCUUCACAGGCAUUUUUGCGUGCUUUCUGGCGGGCAUUCUGGAACCACACUACUACCACACGGCUAGCCAGACCCAAGAGACUUGAGAGUCGCUCCACCUCUCCAUCCUUGGGGUAAGCACUGGUCUCAAAGAAAGACUGCAGGGCCUGGGUCUGGAACUCUGUGAACUUGGUUCUGGAGAACCUGCGGCCUGCAGGAGCUAGGAGAGGAUGGUUCCCUUUGGAGCUUUCUUCCUCCUCUGUAGGCCAGCAUCCUCCUGCCCGGCUUUGCUCUUCAGGGGCAUGGGUUCCUCCUGCCUCAGGCUCCGGAACCCGGAAAGGUGGGCCCAGUUGAGGAGCAGGUGACUCGAGAGACCCAUCGGGAAGUUUGGGGGGCUCCACAGGGGGUGGGUAUAGGCUAUCAUAGCUCUUUCGAAACUGGGCGGCAUAACGGCUCAGUGCCUCGAAGGGCAGAAAGCGGCGGUGGACAUGCUCCUCAUGUGUUUUGAGGAUAAGCAUAUUGGAGAAGAGUUUCCCACAGGCCCCACAGGCCAGCUUGUCCCCACCCCCUAGGGCCUCUGGAGGAGGAGGUGUUGGGGGAGGGGGCACAGCCUGCUUCCCUUCAUUGUACUGAAUCACGAGCUCAAAGCCGAAGUUUUCUAGAAGGGCUUUGGCUGCGGUGCGGGUGGCCUCAUUGGGUGAUGGGUGGGGUGGUGAGGAUGGCCCUGCCUCAUUCCCCUCCUCAGCCACGACAGGCCGCUCCCAUUCCUGCUCAGCCAGCUCAGCUUUAGGGGGUGGGGGUGGAGGAGGUGGGGUGACAGAUGGUAGGGACAGCAUGGGUGCAGGCCCAGCUAGUGCCAGCUUGGGCCCUACCUUGAGGUCAUGGAGAUAGAAGGGAAGGAGCAGCUGUUGCUGCUGGAGCUUAAGCAGUGAUUCGGGCAUCAGAGGGAAGGGGGGAAAUACUGGUGGAGUGAAGAUAGGGGCUGGGAAUCGGUGCAGGUCCAAGGGGGGCGGAGGUGGGGACAGGAAGGGCAGCCCAGAUAUGAAGCCACUGGGGUCAGGGCCCUUCUUCUCAGUGCCCACCUCCCCCUCAGUCUCGCCUUCCUUGGGCUCUUCUUGGCUACGCUCUGGCCCCUCAGCCUUGGCAUCGGUCUUGGGCCCUCUGGAGCGAGUCUGGUGCAGAACUGACCGCAUGUGGAUCUCUAGCGUAGAGCUCUGGUUGUAGGAAACCCGGCAGACUGUGCACUUAAAGGGCUUGUCAGUGGCAGUGGUGGUGGUUGGUGGGGCACCAGCCUCUCCACGGGCAGGGCCCGAAGGGUCAAUUGCAGCCUUCUUCAUCUUAUGGAGGUGGGAGACAGAAUUAUAAUGAACCAAAAGGAUGUUCUUCUGAGUGAAGGACUCCUUACACACAGUGCACUUGUAGGGCCGGGCAGGGUCCAGAAACUUGUCCAGGGCAAAGUUAGUAGUUUUCCGAUAGGUCAGAGGAUGGCGAGGAUCAGCUGGGGCUGGCUCUGCAGAGCGGGGCUCCCCCGUAGUCCCCUCUUCUUCUUCAGCCAUCGUGGGUGGAGGAGCUGUUUCUUCAGUUUGGGUGUCAGGCUGAGGGGCUGGAGAUGGAGCUGCAGAAGAAGGUUGCUCAGGGCUUCCCAGUGGCUUGUCUGGAGCCUCAGCUGGGGCCAGAGGAGGCUCAGGAGGAGAAUCUGGGCUAGCUUCUGAGGUCAGGUUAGGGCCUUCUAUGGAAGACAAGAAAGUGCAGUGAGCAAAGAACUUCGUUCAGGAUGGCCCUCGUAUCUUUAAAAUCUAGGGCAACAAAGCCUGGCUUCACUGUUCUUUAGAUCUUCUUAGCCCAUCCCCAGGGAAGGUAUGCUGUCUUCUUCCUUACCUGCUGUCUGGUCUCUGCUUGGUGUGGGCUCUGGCCCAGGAGUGGGGGCUUGUGGGCCAUCCUCCAGAGGGCCGAGUGAGGGCCCAGGCAGCACUUUGGUUGGAAAGGCCAUCUCUAUGGGUGUGGCCUGUAAUGUAAAAAGCUCUGGUGGCUUCACCAUCUCCCAUCCCCAUUGCCCGCUGUGCUAUUCCUGUGCUGAGCUUCCCUCCCAUAGAUCAGCCUUUCUGGACAAACACACCUCCUACUGGCUGCUUCCCUACGACGAAGGCCUGAGAUGCUGCCUUUCCUCUCAGCCUCCCUCCUUCCCCAGGCCAAGGUCAGCUUUCCUCGAGGCCACCUGGCCCUGACAGACCUGGAGUUGCUGUCUUGUUUGUCAUCUCCAGAUUUAAUGGAAGUGAGAAGUGCUGAGUUUCCUCAUCCAGUAGAUGCAGCCAGCCAGGCUUAGCUCUGAGAGUCCCUCCAACUCAAAAUCCCACUCCAAAUCUGUGAAAUGAUGCUUUCUUCAUCAGCCUCCCCCUAACACCUACACUUGUCUGCAGGGCACUGCACAGUCCUGCCUAAGCCUCAGUGGACCAUCCUCACCCAGCCUGUACUCACCACAAGCAGCAGCUUCUCAACACAUUCAGGGACUACGUUGUGCAGGUGGCUGAGGUGGAAGUGCAGGGCAGGCCGGCCUACCAGCUGCUCCUGGCACAGUGGGCACCUGUAUUUGGGCUGCACUGCAUGCUGGGAGAGUGUAUGAGCCCUCACUUGGUCAGACUCUGGGCUCGAGAAACUGCAGUAUGGACAGCAGUACACCUGGGGAGCACAAAUGGACAGUGGAGGAGGUGUCAGGGAAGGGGACCCACCAUUACACAGUCAUCCGGGUUUGCCGGUGCAGCUGUCCCUCCUCCCAGUUUAGUAGGAACAAGCCAGAUGGGAAGGCACCUCAGCCCCAAAACCUGAGAGCUGGCUUCUCUCCCACCUCUCUUGGACUGAGACAGAAGAUUUAGCGUAAGCCGUGACCUUGCUUUCCUCCUUUCUUUGGCACUUUCUACUCAUCUUGGCCUCUAUUUUUUUUGUUAUUGUUGUUGGUUUUUCUGUAUCUCUGCUGACAUACUCAAUUCUCCAGCUGACAGCACUGUACCUGCCUCCAUCUCACAUUUAGUUUUUUGGCUCACACCUGUCCUGCCUGUAUCUUCUCUGUGAAAUGCAUCCAGUUCCUUUGGGUACCUUCUAGACCCAGAGAUCUCUACUCACUUUUGCCACUGAAGGUUCCUGAACGUUUCCCACAGAGGGGUCCUACCUGUCUGCUCAGAAAUUGGCUCAUUUUCCCUCUGGUUCAGAAGCUCCCACAUUUUUUUCCCCUGUCUUUGUAAUAUGAACAAAUGCCCUAUCUUCCCCAUGGGGCCUGAGCUGCAGCACACUCCUGCCCAUACUUCAGGAGGGGCAGAGCCAGGAAAGGCCUGCUGUCACCACCUGACUGUCUCAGCUGGCCAGCCUGAGCUGCAGAGCAAACUUAUCUGUGGCUCAUUUCCUCUCUCUCCUGUCACCUGAAGUGGGUGGCUGUAGAGGAGAGAAUCCAGAUGCUCAUCUUAAUGUACCCACUAAGCCUUAGAGCGGACAUCAUAACAGAUCUGUUGAGCAGGAGUUAAAAGGGAGACAAGCCGUGAGUCCCCGAAUAGCAUCUCAAGGCCAGAGGGUGGGAACCCUUCAGAAUCAACUUUCAGAUCGCAAAGCUAAACCACUCUGAGAUCCUGCUAGGUCCAAAUCCUGGGGGCUUGGAGGCUUGCAGGACAUGCUUUCAGCAUGAAUCAUUUGGUUGGUGCUUCCACCUUCCAGAAGAGGGUGUCAGGACAGUCUCAUUCAGACUCAGCUUUCUGCAGGAUGAAAAUAUCUGCGUGUAGUUGUCUCUCUGCAGUUGGUCUUUUUGUUGUUUAUUUUUUUUGAGACAGGGUCUCCCUCUUAGUCCAGGCUGCCUUUGAACUCAGUAUGUAGCUCAGGCUGGCCUUGAACCUACAGUGAGUGAUUCUCCUGUCUGGGCCACACUGGGGUUAUAGUGCCUGCCAACAUACCCCACGUGGUAGCUGGUCUUUAGUUUUGCCUUUCUCUUUUCAUCUCUUCACUCUUUCCUCCUUUCCUGCCAUCUGUCUCCCUCAUCCCUGCUUUAAUAUAGUUCCUCUCUUGUACCUCUCCCUCUAACUCCUACCAUCCCUUCCUCUCAUCUGCUGUACCCCAUCCCUUGGGCCAUUUCUGUUGUUUAUGCUUAACAUAUGUAAUUGGCCCUGAUAUAAUUUCUCACAUGUGGGAUUCUGAGUGAAAUAAGUCACAAGUAUACUAAAAGUGCCUAGAAUAUGACCAGACCCCCCUCUCAACUGGUCCCGUUUCCCCAGUUCUGACCGUGGUUUGGUUGGCACUGUCUCUGGAAGGGCCAGUCUUGUUCUCUGCCUCUUCAGAAGCUGAGGAUGAAAGCAGAGCAGAUUAAGAGACUCCGACAGCCUUCCCUUUUCUGUUCACAGACACCCAGCCCUUAAGAUGAUUUGUAGUAGAGGACUUUCUGGGCAGCAAAGUGGGUUCUUGGAACAGGCAAAAGGGCAAGAAACUCAGUACCCAGGUGAGGCCUGAGUCAGCAGCCAGGCAGGGGCUAACUGUAGGUGGGUAAGGUGGCCAGGGUUGGGUCCUCUGAGAAGGUAGAAGCAUCUAGCUCAGCCUCCCUUCCCUCUAAUGAGCCCCUCCUUUUUUUUUUUUAAUCUUUUUAAGACAAGGUCUUUCUAUGCAGUUCAGGCUGGCCUUGAACUCAGUUUGCAACAUAGGCUGGUCUCAAACUCACAACAAUCCUCGUGCAACCUCCCAAGUACUGGGGUUACAGGUGUGUGCCACCAUGCCCAGCCUAAUGAGCCCUUUCACGGACCAAUGUAGCCUCAGCAUAGGAGGCUUUGUUGGGGGCUUAGAUCUCUGUGACGACCUGUGAGCAUGUCAGAAUGUUAUGGAGGACUGGGACUGGGGGACAAGAAAGAAAAUAGGACCACAGAAGCAACUCACCCAACUGUUCUGUCUUGUUCUGGAGAUCUUUCUCAAAGGUGGGUGGCUCGGCUAGGGGGGUGACAGGAGUCUUCCCUGUGUAGGAUAGGGGAAGAGUUAACUUAAAGAGGUGAAGCAUCAGGGAAGAGAGGACAGAGGAAGCAGGACAAGCAGCCAGUCAACAAAGAAGAGAUAAAUGGGUAAUCAACAGGUAGGAGAGGAUAAAACCCCCGAAAGAAAUCAUCACCAAGAAGGCGAAAGGCAAAAUUAUAGUAAUGGAACUAGGAGGGCUUAAGAGAUCAUUUCAGGCAAAUCUUGCCACCCUUGUCUUUUUGUAGAAAUAAGCCUUACAAUAGGCAACAGAAACUGGACUACACUUGGACCCUUGUCUUGACUGACCCUAGAAGCAGGGAAUCCCAAAAAUAUAGUGGGAGGGGCAUUCUGGAAGGUGCUGAAGUUGAAUGGAAAGGCAGUGGUGGUGAGCAGGAGCAGCAGGCCUAGCUGGGAGAGAAGAUUACCACUCAAGUAAGAAUUGACAGAUGUGUAGGAAUUUAUUUUCAGUGGCAGCCUAAUUAAAGUGUUAAAGUUCCUUAACUCCAUUCAGCCCUGCGCCAGGAUCGUUAGCUAUUGAUCUGGGCCCCUCCAGCACUUAACUCCAGCCAGCAUAUUGGCAAUUCAAUUAGCACCAGUCAAUGCCGCUUGUUCCUGGUUCCUGCUGCCUGUGCCCUCACCCUCGCCCACUGCUGGCCUCUGCAAAGCCUGCAGUCCAUGCCCAUCUCUGUUUGACAGCCCCUUCCAGGCUCUUCUGCACCUUUUGGAUCGAUGGUGCUGGGCUGUUUCUGGCCCCUGCUGGCACAGCUUCAGCCGCCUAAGGGGAGCUCUAAGCCCAGCCGUAGGGCUGAAGACCUCCUAAGAGAGGAAGAGGCCAGGAAGUUUAUUGGUGCCUCUUCCCAUCCCUGCUGCUUUCUCUCCUUUCUGACCAGCUUCAGCCUGUGGUUUCCCACCCCCACAGGUGCUAGGACACCAGUCAAUACUGACUCACUGGGCGAUUUCCCCUCAUCUCCCUUCCUGUUCUCUAUUCUCUACCCAGCCCUUCUCAGCAUGCCUCCAAAUUCCCUCUUGUACCCUCUCCUCACAGGGCAGCCACUGUGAUUCUGUAGCCCCCAUCCUAGCUUAUUUCCCUCCAUGGCUGUUUUCUUCGUGCUGUUGAUGAGACCUAUUUCUCCUUCCUGUUUCACCCUCUUAGCUCCCUGCUGCCCACCUGCCCAGUCCUCAUUCUCCAGGCCCCUCUUCCUCACCAGGAGCUCGGAGCUGCCCAUGGCUGAAGCUUAGGAUGCUCUGAAGAGCUGAGAGUCCGUCCUCGGCUGAUGGGCCAUUCUGUAGCAGCUGCAGACGCCUCUGGGCUUGAGCAUCCCGGUGGGCAGCAGAAACUAGAAGCAUGGGAAGUGGCUGGCACUCAGGCCCUAAAGGGACACCUCCAUAUCACAGACUUUGCUUCCCACACUUCCUCCCAAGGCCGUUUCCCUCCAGUGAUCACCUGAGUAUCUGCUUGGCCUGGACAGCACUCCCUCCUGUAUGUGAAUGAAAUCUGCUUCUGUCUUUUUGAACUUUUGGUAAUGCGAUGGACUGAGCUGACACUGACUCCUCCCUCCAGCCCCAAAUACCAGAAGAGCUGAAUAAAGUCUUUGUUUCAUGUUC